This 407-nucleotide ribosomal RNA is filed under the name uncultured bacterium. Its description in RNAcentral is "partial 16S ribosomal RNA". It matches the Rfam family "Bacterial small subunit ribosomal RNA", at positions 30 to 526 of the family's 1533-position model. The record is from RNAcentral.
AUUGAACGCUGGCGGCAGGCCUAACACAUGCAAGUCGAGCGGAGCUGCGGACGGGUGAGUAAUUCCUAGGAAUCUGCCUGGUAGUUGGGGAUAACGUCCCGAAACGGGCGCUAAUACCGCAUCCUAUCAGAUGAGCCUAGUUCGGAUUAGCUAGUUGGUGAGGUAAAGGCCUACCAAGGCGACUACCCGUAACUGGUCUGAGAGGAUGAUCAGUCACACUGGAACUGAGACACGGUCCAGACUCCUACGGGAGGCAGCAGGGGGGAAUAUUGGGCAAUGGGCGAAAGCCUGAUCCAGCCAUGCCGCGUGUGUGAAGAAGGUCUUCGGAUUGUAAAGCACUGUAAGUUGGGAAGCGUUACCAACAGAAUAAGCACCGGCUAACUUCGUGCCAGCAGCCGCGGUAAUUC